GAACGGGUGAGUAACACGUGGGUGAUCUGCCCUGCACUUUGGGAUAAGCCUGGGAAACUGGGUCUAAUACCGAAUAUGACCAUGCGCCUCCUGGUGUGUGGUGGAAAGCUUUUGCGGUGUGGGAUGGGCCCGCGGCCUAUCAGCUUGUUGGUGGGGUAAUGGCCUACCAAGGCGACGACGGGUAGCCGGCCUGAGAGGGUGACCGGCCACACUGGGACUGAGAUACGGCCCAGACUCCUACGGGAGGCAGCAGUGGGGAAUAUUGCACAAUGGGCGCAAGCCUGAUGCAGCGACGCCGCGUGAGGGAUGACGGCCUUCGGGUUGUAAACCUCUUUCAGCACAGACGAAGCGCAAGUGACGGUAUGUGCAGAAGAAGGACCGGCCAACUACGUGCCAGCAGCCGCGGUAAUACGUAGGGUCCGAGCGUUGUCCGGAAUUACUGGGCGUAAAGAGCUCGUAGGUGGUUUGUCGCGUUGUUCGUGAAAACUCACAGCUUAACUGUGGGCGUGCGGGCGAUACGGGCAGACUUGAGUACUGCAGGGGAGACUGGAAUUCCUGGUGUAGCGGUGGAAUGCGCAGAUAUCAGGAGGAACACCGGUGGCGAAGGCGGGUCUCUGGGCAGUAACUGACGCUGAGGAGCGAAAGCGUGGGGAGCGAACAGGAUUAGAUACCCUGGUAGUCCACGCCGUAAACGGUGGGUACUAGGUGUGGGUUUCCUUCCUUGGGAUCCGUGCCGUAGCUAACGCAUUAAGUACCCCGCCUGGGGAGUACGGCCGCAAGGCUAAAACUCAAAGAAAUUGACGGGGGCCCGCACAAGCGGCGGAGCAUGUGGAUUAAUUCGAUGNCACGCGAAGAACCUUACCUGGGUUUG
RNAcentral lists this ribosomal RNA (871 nucleotides) under uncultured bacterium. RNAcentral's name for it is "bacterial SSU rRNA". It matches the Rfam family "Bacterial small subunit ribosomal RNA", at positions 100 to 983 of the family's 1533-position model. The record is from RNAcentral.